UACAACAUUGGUCCACAUGCAACUGGAAAAAUUAACAACAUAGAUCGUUAAGAUCUCUGAAUCUAGGAGAUCUUUAAUACAUUGUUUGUCCAUGGUGGGACACAAAUUAGAACAAUGGUCUGGAUUUCCGAUUCACGGGCCCAAUUAUCAUACUUUAAAAGCCGCGUAUACUGUGCAGAUACGAGUCGUAUCAUAUAAAUUCUCCGAUUUCAAAAUACUCUCUCUCUCUCUCUCUCUCUCUAUACGGAUGCUCCGGGGGUGUACGUUAAGCUGGCGGGGCUUCUAUGGCUCGCGGGCUUCAGAUAGGCUUGUUGUCUUCACAGGGUCUUUUUCUUCUGUAGCUGUUCGCGGGAGCUGUUGAAACGUACUGGGCAGUGCUUUCUCUUGAACGGGCUGAUCUUCUUAGGAAGUAUAAUUAUUCUAAAUUCAGUAGUCAUCCCAAUUUUGCUGUGGAUAUUGCCGGUUCAAUGCCAUCAUCUUGGCUCACGAGAUCUAUGCGGCGCUGGAGACAUUUUAAAACUUUACUCCUUGCUGUUUAUCCUUAUUAAGCUUUUCUACGCAAGUAUUUAUAUUUCCAUUUUAUUGCUUGAUAUAAUAAGUUUCUACUGUAUAUUUUCUGUUGCACAACACAGUUUCUCCUUGUAUAUUUUGAUUGGAAGUUCAUUUUCUAUUUUAUUUUCUGUUACACAUGAAACAUGCUUGUAGAACACUACAUCAUCAUGAGAAUAAUUGGUCAACA
Long non-coding RNA from Magnolia sinica, 739 nucleotides. RefSeq lists it as uncharacterized. The record is from RefSeq and is a predicted model, not a curated record. The transcript has 3 exons. NCBI's taxonomy places the organism in Eukaryota, Viridiplantae, Streptophyta, Magnoliopsida, Magnoliales, Magnoliaceae.